RNAcentral lists this ribosomal RNA (463 nucleotides) under uncultured bacterium. RNAcentral describes it as "partial 16S ribosomal RNA". It matches the Rfam family "Bacterial small subunit ribosomal RNA", at positions 28 to 507 of the family's 1533-position model. The record is from RNAcentral.
GACGAACGCUGGCGGCGUGCUUAACACAUGCAAGUCGAGCGGAAAGGCCACUUCGGUGGUACUCGAGCGGCGAACGGGUGAGUAACACGUGAGUAAUCUGCCCCUCACUUUGGGAUAGCCACCGGAAACGGUGAUUAAUACCGGAUAUGACCAUAUGUCGCAUGGCGUGUGGUGGAAAGUUUUUCGGUGAGGGAUGUGCUCGCGGCCUAUCAGCUUGAUGGUGAGGUAAUGGCUCACCAUGGCUUCGACGGGUAGCCGGCCUGAGAGGGUGACCGGUCACACUGGGACUGAGACACGGCCCAGACUCCUACGGGAGGCAGCAGUGGGGAAUAUUGGACAGUGGGCGGAAGCCUGAUCCAGCAACGCCGCGUGAGGGAUGACGGCCUUCGGGUUGUAAACCUCUUUCAGUACCGACGAAGCGCAAGUGACGGUAGGUACAGAAGAAGCACCGGCCAACUACGUG